This 30-nucleotide small RNA is filed under the name Bombyx mori (domestic silkworm). RNAcentral's name for it is "ovarian small RNA-31689". The record is from RNAcentral. Lineage: Eukaryota; Metazoa; Arthropoda; Insecta; Lepidoptera; Bombycidae.
UGACGAAGCCACAAGGCCUCCUGGGUCGCC